UUUCUUUCAAUUCAUUCCAAAAACCUACAAAAUCAAGGGAUUCUAAUGUUAAAAUCAAAAAACAUGUCCUCAACUCUUUUAUUCUUAAAACUAAAGAAAAAUCAUGAGUCAAAAAAAGUUUCUAAGUCAACACGGGUUCAUUUGAUAUCAAAAUUAAGUAUAAAAAUAACGGUUUUUCAACCGUUAUCACGCACUUAGUGACUUUUUUAGGACAUUAUAUUGAAGGCGACG
This 231-nucleotide long non-coding RNA is filed under the name Vigna radiata. RNAcentral's name for it is "long non-coding RNA (VRAD_LNC009772)". Lineage: Eukaryota; Viridiplantae; Streptophyta; Magnoliopsida; Fabales; Fabaceae. The record is from RNAcentral.